AGAAGAUCCUUGUCCUUUCUUGAGCAUGUGGGAUUCUCCUGAGAGGUAUCCAGGGUCCGGGCUCUACUGGAAAUCAUUCCUUCAACUCUUUAGGGACUGAGGAUGUGGAAAAAAUUGGAAGGCACACUUUCACUCUUCAGCUGGAAAAUCUAACGGUCCUAGGUGGAAAUUCUUCUAAGAUUACCUCAUUGCUUAAGGCCAUGAAAUUGAGGUAUUGCUGAGGAGGAAGAGAUGAGCUAUAUCAAGUUUUACAUGCUCAUUAAAAACACAAGAAAGAGGGAAGUUGUAAUAAAAUGGAAAGAUAGCUCAUACUCAGCCAAUAAGCAUUUAUGUAGCACUUACUAUAUGUUAAGUAUUGUGAUAAAUGCUAAGGAUUCAAAGUCAGAAAAAUAUAAUCCUGGCUUCAAACUGUUCACAAUUUAAUGAGAGACAUCAUAUACACAACAUAUAUGUACAGAAUGCAUAAAGAGUAGAUGGAAGGCAAUCUCAAGGAAGAUACUAAUAGUAGAAUCAUGGGAGGAUUGGGAAAGGCCUUCAGAAAAUGAGCUGUGAAUACAGUCUUGAAGGAUGUCAUGGAAACCAGAGGCUGAGAUGAGGAGGAAGAAAGUUCUAGACAUGGGGGAGGGCCACUGACAAUUCAGGAGACAGGAGAUGGAAUGUUUUGUACAAAUUAAAGCAAGGAAGUCAGGAAGGUAAGGUAAGAUGUGAGAAACCUGCAAAGCUGGGAAUGGGUCAGUUAGCCUGGAAAGGGAUCUAUGAGCCAAAUAGGACUUUAUAUUUGAUCCUAGAAGUAAUUGGAAAUAAAGUGGAAUUUAUUGAGCAUGUAUGUAUGUAUCAGAGUUGGUAGAAUCAGUUUUAUAAUAAACUUAAAGACUAUAAGAAACACCAUGGGAUAUUUGAUUAUCAUGUAUUAAAGAACAAUAAGUACUUGCAAAAAAGACCACCAAGCAAAUAACUGCAAGAUCAUCUAUCAACAUCAGUGGCAGAGGAUGAAGAAGUAGAGAA
RNAcentral lists this long non-coding RNA (1005 nucleotides) under Sarcophilus harrisii (Tasmanian devil). Its description in RNAcentral is "lncRNA (ENSSHAG00000029920.1)". The record is from RNAcentral. Lineage: Eukaryota; Metazoa; Chordata; Mammalia; Dasyuromorphia; Dasyuridae.